CAGCCGUAAACAAUGUGCGUUAGGUGUGUCGGUAACCACGCGUUACUGAUGCGCCGAAGAGAAAUCGUGAAACGCACCACCUGGGAAGUACGGUCGCAAGGCUGAAACUUAAAGGAAUUGGCGGGGGAGCACCACAACAGGUGGAGCCUGCGGUUUAAUUGGAUUCAACGCAGGACAUCUCACCGGAUAAGACAGCUGAAUGAUUGUCAAUCUGAAGGUUUUACAUGACUAGCUGAGAGGAGGUGCAUGGCGUCAGUGACU
RNAcentral lists this ribosomal RNA (261 nucleotides) under uncultured archaeon. RNAcentral describes it as "partial 16S ribosomal RNA". It matches the Rfam family "Archaeal small subunit ribosomal RNA", at positions 748 to 1008 of the family's 1478-position model. The record is from RNAcentral.